AUCGUGUGCAGGAUUGGACAAAACAAGAUGGCAGACAGCAGUUCCAAACAAAGCAUCACUUCCCUUUUCCUUUCUGCAGCAUACGAGAAGGUAGGUAAAUUUUUAGAGCGGAGAAAUUUGAAAUAAUCUUUGUUUAGUUAAGAACAUAUUUCUGCUAAACUUCUUUCACAGUAAGAAUGGUUGUGUUUGUGGCAUUUUUCGAAGCAAAAUGCAUCCGAUGACGUCUGAGUUUUGUGAUUUUUAAAGGAUUCUGAUUUAGUGUGGCCAUGCAAGAACUAGUCAUUUGAAUUUUCCCCCUUGAGUAUAUAAAAUAAUCAUAUAACGCUCCCCCUUUUAUAUUUUCUAUUAGAUUGAAAUAUUUUUGGUUUAAAUUUGUGAGAGCAUACCGCCAGUUAGAACGAUCGAGACGAAUUAGAGGUCAGACCAGGGAAGACCGCACGAGGAGUCGGACAGAACCGCGUGCUCCCGAACAGGAACCGGAUGACGACAGUAUCAUAACGAAAUUUGCAAUGUAUAAAACAGAUGAUAGAAUUCUGAAAGAGGGGAGAAGAGUAAUGAAUGGAGUAAUGAAUUGGCAAAAUAAUGUGGGACAAAAGCAAUAGUAAGAUGCAGAACAAAAAUGUCUGAACUUUUCACCGUGAGGUGAGGUGACAGGGAGAUUAUUAGUAUGUAUGUUUAUAGCUUGUUUACAAGAUCAUGAGGGUGAAAUUGAUUUUGGUCAGAGGAAACGCGUAACCAAUCGGAGUGUAAGAAAUCAGUCACCAGAGGUCAAGCAUUUGUAUAUAUUAUUUACAAGAAAAAUGAAAUUAAAAAGUAUGCAAAACCUUACAAGUGAAGUUGAGUAUGCAACGCUAAAUUAUAGAUUUUUCAAGGAAAUAAUUAUGUUGGCUUUGAGUUUGAAUUAAAAGCCAAUGUCAAUAUUACAGAUUAUUAAGAUAUAACAAAUAUGGUAAGGAAUUUUGGAGGAUGUACGGGAGUAUAAAUGCGAGGAACAAAGACAGAGUUCUUCAGUAACUGAACAGAACUUUGUCUUUGGUCUUUCAUUUAUACAGGUAGGAUAUUGAGUAUACUUGCGCAUUUCUGAAAUAACUUUUCAAUUUUUCAGAUGGCUUCGUUAAUUUUUGUGUGUGAACUUUUAUAUUAAUGUUUGUAAUUAUUAUUGUAUAUUGUAUAAUAUGAAUUGUAAUCAAUAAUUAUAAUGAUGAAAUGUUUCUUUAUUAAAAAACAUUAGCUGAACAG
This is a long non-coding RNA of Ostrea edulis (European flat oyster), 1239 nucleotides long. RefSeq lists it as uncharacterized. The record is from RefSeq and is a predicted model, not a curated record. Lineage: Eukaryota; Metazoa; Mollusca; Bivalvia; Ostreida; Ostreidae. The transcript is spliced from 2 exons.